Molecule: long non-coding RNA, 1638 nt
Filed under: Gallus gallus (chicken)
Lineage: Eukaryota; Metazoa; Chordata; Aves; Galliformes; Phasianidae
Description: lncRNA (ENSGALG00010023025.1)
Source: RNAcentral
AUCUUUUGGAUCUGGGCUGUUUCUUGAGACGGGGUGCUGUGUAGGUAGAGAAGCCUUUUGCCACUGGGGCUGAGAAGCACACCCAGAAACAGGUUCAGCAGACGACCAUUGGGGUGUUUUACCGCUUCCUGGCUGCUGGAGGUGCCCCUUGGACUAAUGGCAGCUUUGGUUAACCCGCUCAGUCAAGUUCCCAAUGUUAGGCGGAUUCCGUCUUCUUUUACACAGCUCCUGCUGCAGAGGAGCACAAGGCUCAGAUUGACAGAGAAUUCAAUAUUUCAGUUUCUUGUUUAAAGAGACAAGCCUGUUGAGUUCAGUAGGACUGAAGCACAUGGAUAUUUUUGGAUCCUCACAUUUGAGGGAUGCUCCUAACAUCACAGCAAGUGGCAAUCUUCUGUCUCCUCAGAAUUUUGUUAAUCUGUGAGCUGUCUUUAUCAUGUUAAUUGAAAUUCUUUGUAGAAAUACAUGUUCCUUGUUUUUUUUUUUCACAUUAUAUUGGCUACUGUCUGUUUUCCACGGAUACCUUUCAGAUGUUGCCAUAGCUUGCUAACAUAUUGCUUGUUAUCAGUAUGUUUGUCUGUAUUUUCUCUGGAUCUACUCAUUGUUCUCCUUGGUGAAUGGAUUCUGGGAAUCCACAAGCCAGCAGAACAGUUCCUGCCUCUCGGAGCCUGAUCCAUGUUGUCCUCUGCUGAUGUACCACUAAGUACCCAUUGCUGAUGUAUUUGUAACACUGAAAAGCUAUCUGAGCUUACUACCUCAAGCGCUGCUUCCCCUUCUGUGUUUAAAAAUAUGUUGCAUUGAAUGUAGAUGUUGCACUGAAGAUCCUUCAGCUGUGCUAUAAAUCCUCAUUCUGUGAAAUAAUUCAUUCAAAUGCUUGUUGCUGCUGCUUGUCAGGGAUAGUGGUGUUGCCAGUUAGAAAGUUAGGUAAUUAAAUUGCUGUCACAUCUCUGGAAAUAAGAAGCGAGUUGGACUGCUCUUAUUUACAGGAAGAAAGGGAAGUACAGUGAUUCUGACUGGUAGCUUUAUCAUCAAGGAACAUCUCAGUGAGGCAAGACAAGUCCUGCUUUGAGAACAGUGGUCUCCCCUCUUUAGCAGAGAGUGAAGGGUGUAUUUUGUAACACAAGGGAAGCCUUGUGCUUUUAAGAUCAUAGUACAAUCUAGAGAGAACAGAGAAUUUAGGUGGAAAAAAAAAUCAAACUUUUCUCAUAAAUACUUGGAGAGGGUGUAUUUGGAUUUUUAUUUAUUUUUUUUUUGUCAUUGUUCUGUGCACAAUAGAUGUGUGUAAUUGAGCGUUUUACAAAGAGAAGUUGUUUUAUAAAUCAUGAAAAAGAUGUUCUGGAAAUUGUAGAAAUAAGAUGCUGUGGUUUUUUUGUUUUGUUUUUUUUUUUUUGUUUUUUUCUUUUUUAAAUAAUCAAAAUUGCUUCCCAAACAUUUUGCUUGGAGGAAAGCUGGAUGUUUUUUUGUUGUUGUUGUUAUAUAAGCACUAAUGGAAGUUUCUGUCUUACACUAACUUAUAGCAACUUACCUAAACAGAAUGAUGAUAUGUACAAAGUUAGACUACAAGCUUUCAGACAAAAAACCCAACAAUUUAAGAUAUUGAUAAUUUUAGCCCAUAAGCACUAUGAUGAACAAGAUUUUUUU